RNAcentral lists this ribosomal RNA (497 nucleotides) under uncultured bacterium. RNAcentral describes it as "partial 16S ribosomal RNA". It matches the Rfam family "Bacterial small subunit ribosomal RNA", at positions 28 to 507 of the family's 1533-position model. The record is from RNAcentral.
GAUGAACGCUGGCGGCGUGCCUAAUACAUGCAAGUCGAGCGAACGGACGAGAAGCUUGCUUCUCUGAUGUUAGCGGCGGACGGGUGAGUAACACGUGGAUAACCUACCUAUAAGACUGGGAUAACUUCGGGAAACCGUAGCUAAUACCGGAUAAUAUUUUGAACCGCAUGGUUCAAAAGUGAAAGACGGUCUUGCUGUCACUUAUAGAUGGAUCCGCGCUGCAUUAGCUAGUUGGUAAGGUAACGGCUUACCAAGGCAACGAUGCAUAGCCGACCUGAGAGGGCGAUCGGCCACACUGGAACUGAGACACGGUCCAGACUCCUACGGGAGGCAGCAGUAGGGAAUCUUCCGCAAUGGGCGAAAGCCUGACGGAGCAACGUCGCGUGAGUGAUGAAGGUCUUCGGAUCGUAAAACUCUGUUAUUAGGGAAGAACAUAUGUGUAAGUAACUGUGCACAUCUUGACGGUACCUAAUCAGAAAGCCACGGCUAACUACGUG